Molecule: non-coding RNA, 931 nt
Organism: Arachis ipaensis
Lineage: Eukaryota; Viridiplantae; Streptophyta; Magnoliopsida; Fabales; Fabaceae
Source: RefSeq, a predicted model, not a curated record
GAUGGUGGAGAAGACCAGGUUGUGGUUGGCACUUUUGACCUUAAUCAGCCUUCCAGAUGAAAUUGCAGGGACAAAGCCAGAGUUCCAAUGGAAACUUUGUGCUUGAGUUGGACUUUGAGCCUUUUAACACAUCCUUCCCCCGCCCAACACUGAAAAAGUCAAUUGGGAAUGGCGUUGAGUUCCUUAACGGCCACCUUUCCGCUAAGCUUUUCCAUGGCAAGGAGAGUAUGCAACCAUUGCUGGAGUUCGUAAGGCUUCAUAGUUACAAUGAAAAGGUAUACUCUGUGCACUUCUGGCAGUAAAUUCACAAAUUUUUUAACAAUAAAAGAUGAUUAGCACAGUUGGUAAAGCAAUGAAAUGACCUUGUAUCCUAAAAGACGCGAGUUUGAUUCCCUUUGCUGAAGUGAUGAUCACUUAGGUGGGGCAAUGAUCUGUAACUACCUGGGGAGACAUUCUUUGGAAGGAUCCCUAUGGUCUUCAAUGUGGUGAUCCUUUCUCCCCAUGGUUACUUUGCUCAAGACAAUGUCUUGGGAUACCCUAAUACUGGUGGCCAGGUUGUUUACAUCUUGGAUCAAGUUCGUGCAUUGGAGAAUGAGAUGCUCAACCGCAUCAAGAAACAAGGCUUGGACAUCACCCCUCGCAUUCUCAUUGUAUCUCCCCUAUGCCAGAUGUAAAUAUUUAGCUGACUUGUGUAUAGUGAAUCGAUUGUCACAAACUCGAGCCUGUGAUUGCUUUUAAAAUCGAGUUUCAUCCCCUGUGAUUUUCACUAAUAUUUAGCCUGUCAUUGGGAUUGGUUUAUAGCCUAACUUAAUGUAACAUAGUUAUAGGCUUGUAGUAUUUUUUGUUAUUUCGAUUUGUAACAUGAUUUAUUUCUUUUCAAGAGAAAUUUGUGUAUCAAUAUUUUGAGUUUAAUGAAAUAUCUAUUUUGUAA